UAUGUAGUGGCAACCUAGUAGAACUGAAAUAAAUCUUUAAGUAUAGUUAACAUAUAAUUCAAUCCCUCUAUCGUGAGUCCCGACUAGAUGGCAGGUCAUGGAUAAACCGUCAAACCUCAACAUCAAUCAUAUGAUAGAUUCGAUUAGCUCGAGUCCAAUUGUGACUUCUAUAGAGAUUGUUUUCUAUCAAUCACACUACUGUGGCCAC
RNAcentral lists this long non-coding RNA (208 nucleotides) under Elaeis guineensis (African oil palm). RNAcentral describes it as "long non-coding RNA (EGUI_LNC059937)". The record is from RNAcentral. Lineage: Eukaryota; Viridiplantae; Streptophyta; Magnoliopsida; Arecales; Arecaceae.